Non-coding RNA from Biomphalaria pfeifferi, 510 nucleotides. NCBI's taxonomy places the organism in Eukaryota, Metazoa, Mollusca, Gastropoda, Planorbidae. The record is from the annotation of a GenBank genome assembly.
CCACCACGUAAUGACUACACACCAUCACGUAAUGACUACACAACACCACGUAAUGUCUACACACCACCACGUAAUGACUGUCUACACACCACCACUUAAUGACUGUCUACACACCAGACUUAACAAAUCUUUGUUUGAUUUAUAAACUAAACAACGUUGUAUUUGUAUAUCAAUCAAUUCACGGCAUGGACAUUUAAUUCUAUAUUUUAAAAAACUGUUUACUUACAUUUAAUAUGUUGGUAUUUGUGUGCAAUGUUUUAAUAAUGGGUGCAAUGUUUUAUACAUUUUUUUUUACAUAUUUGAUACAGUAGUGCAAUUUAGGUCAAUAUGUGUACGAGAUUAAUUUAUUUGUGUAAGAAUAUAAAUAUGAAAUAUAUUUGAUUUGUGAUUGUAUAUAUUUACUCUAUUUGUACACUAAGUUAGUGAGCAUUACAAAACUGAAAGUAUAUGUCAUGAAAAUAUUCAGCAAUGUUGCAGUUUUAUAUUAAAAACUCUAUUGAAUAAUUGUAC